UCGCGGCCUAUCAGCUUGUUGGUGAGGUAAUGGCUCACCAAGGCGACGACGGGUAGCCGGCCUGAGAGGGUGACCGGCCACACUGGGACUGAGACACGGCCCAGACUCCUACGGGAGGCAGCAGUGGGGAAUAUUGCACAAUGGGCGAAAGCCUGAUGCAGCGACGCCGCGUGAGGGAUGACGGCCUUCGGGUUGUAAACCUCUUUCAGUAGGGAAGAAGCGAAAGUGACGGUACCUGCAGAAGAAGCACCGGCUAACUACGUGCCAGCAGCCGCGGUAAUACGUAGGGUGCGAGCGUUAUCCGGAAUUAUUGGGCGUAAAGAGCUCGUAGGCGGUUUGUCGCGUCUGUCGUGAAAGUCCGGGGCUUAACCCCGGAUCUGCGGUGGGUACGGGCAGACUAGAGUGCAGUAGGGGAGACUGGAAUUCCUGGUGUAGCGGUGGAAUGCGCAGAUAUCAGGAGGAACACCGGUGGCGAAGGCGGGUCUCUGGGCCGUAACUGACGCUGAGGAGCGAAAGCGUGGGGAGCGAACAGGAUUAGAUACCCUGGUAGCCCACGCCGUAAACGUUGGGUGCUAGGUGUCGGGGACCUUCCACGUCCUCGGUGCCGCAGCUAACGCAUUAAGCGCCCCGCCUGGGGAGUACGGA
This 645-nucleotide ribosomal RNA is filed under the name uncultured Actinoplanes sp. RNAcentral describes it as "bacterial SSU rRNA". It matches the Rfam family "Bacterial small subunit ribosomal RNA", at positions 231 to 886 of the family's 1533-position model. The record is from RNAcentral. Lineage: Bacteria; Bacillati; Actinomycetota; Actinomycetes; Micromonosporales; Micromonosporaceae.